GUCGGGCCAUGACCUGGACAUCGGUGAGGUCCUGCAGUUUGUAUCCCAGAGAGAUGGAGUCGUCCUCGGCCUCUGAAGCCCCGAGGUCGCCGUCCAUGGACGACUGCGGGCUGAAGGCUGAACGUCGGAGGCUGCGACCUUUGAAUUAGAAAACUCAUCUCCCCAGAGUCCAAAACCUCGGUCUCUGUGGCUUAAAGGUGAAGCUAAGCCUCUGAGAUGUGAGGAAGACGAGAGGAUGAGAUUAUUCUGACAGCGCCUCUGAACUCCCAACUCUGAGAUUUCUGCUCUGCAGGCAACACGGAGCGAGCUGAAUUAUAGAUUAUAAAACCUCUGCUGACAUCAGGGCUGAAGAAUGACAGCUUGGUGCAGGCCUGAUAACAAGUGGCCUCUCCUCCUCCUCCUCCUCCUCCUCCUCACCCCUCAGGUGUGCUGCUUUGUCUCCUUCCUCAGGAUGCUUUAAAACCCAGAACCUGACAUGUGGCCUCUGUGUGCAACAUGCAUGAUUCAAAGCUGAGCAACACAUGGUUGAAAACGAACAGAAACACUUGAUAGUUACCAGGUUUCAUCAGACUGAUCCGAGCAGGACAGAGAGUCCAGGUCCAAAAGUUCCAGCUCAUCCAGAACCGAUGGCUCGGAUUCAUCCUCAUCCUCCUCCUCUUCCUCCUCCGCAGCAGCUGCUCCAUCCCCGCCUGUGUGCGGGUGGAAAUACUGGAAAGGCUCCUCAGAAGAUGCAAAAGACCCCAAAGACGCCUGACAGAGGAGUGUGGGCAGAGGGCUGGGCCGGCAGUACCCCUUCAGAGCCGGGGAGGGAGGCACCACAUGCGGCCCGCUGCUCGCCCGGGUCCGCAGCUGCUCGUUCUGCCGCUCCAGCUUCCGCACCAGCUCCUGCAGCUUCUUCACCUCCAGCUCGGCGUUCAGGGUGUUGCUGUUACAGUCCACCUCCUGCAUCAUCGAGGCUUUGAGCACGGCUGCCUCCAUCUGAAGAAAGCACAGUGCAGGAAUCAGGCUAGUGCUGCAGCUACAACACCUCCAACGUGGAAGAGAAAUGGAGGACAGGUAGCUCCAGGCUCACCCGACGCCCUCUCUCUGUGUUCUGUAUGCUGGGAGCUGUAGUAGUACUCUGUCUGAUCCGCCUGUCUGGACUGAUGGGAGACUGAGUGACUCCACCCCUUUUGCACACACACACACACGCACACACACCCACACACACACCCCUGCAUCCUCCUCCUCAUUAUUAACACUACAGCUUGAUUGCAGGUAAAUAAGCACCUGCAGGACAAACUGUGCAUAAAUCCAAAUUCAAAUCUUUUGUUUUAAUACCUCAAUAAAAAUGAGGAUUAAGGCAAGGCAGCUUUAUUUGUAUAGAGCAUUUCAGACACAAGGGCAACUCAAUGUGCUUUACAUUUAAACAUUAAAAGCAUU
Molecule: long non-coding RNA, 1422 nt
Organism: Notolabrus celidotus (New Zealand spotty)
Lineage: Eukaryota; Metazoa; Chordata; Actinopteri; Labriformes; Labridae
Exons: 3
Source: RefSeq, a predicted model, not a curated record